GCAGCCGUAGUUCAGUUGGAUUAGAACGCCUCCCUGCGAAGGAGGAGGUCACAGGUUCGAGUCCUGUCGGUUGCACCA
This 78-nucleotide transfer RNA is filed under the name Pseudomonadota bacterium. Its description in RNAcentral is "tRNA-Arg". It matches the Rfam family "tRNA". Rfam says of the family: Transfer RNA (tRNA) molecules are approximately 80 nucleotides in length. Their secondary structure includes four short double-helical elements and three loops (D, anti-codon, and T loops). Lineage: Bacteria; Pseudomonadati; Pseudomonadota. The record is from RNAcentral. RNAcentral also lists the same sequence under 1 other name.